GGAAGUGUUACACGUGUCCACUGCCUGAAAAGCAAAACAAUUCUUCACGAUAGAGAUCAUUUCGAUUUAAGAUGUUGUGUAAAUGGCUUUGAAAUUUCAAAAUCCGAUUGAAAUAGCCAGUCUCGUGUGCGUUUUGGAGGAUGCCGUGAAGAAACUCAUCAUAGUAGAAAAACUUCAUAAGCCAGCGGUGAGAGCAAAUUCUCAGAAGGGAAACGCUUUUCUUACUCGAAAUUCGACAACUCAAAUUCUGCGCAUAACCCGAGAUGAGCUCUUGGAAAGUGGUUCUUACCAUUGCCUCAAAGCUUAUGUUCAAAAACAGUCGGAUCAACAACACAAAAAUGCCAACUUAAACGAAUCCCAUUCGCAAGUUUUAGUGGAAAUCAAGAAUGCCAAAAAAGUAUUGAAGAUAUCAUCAGAUCAGGAAAACAAGCUUUGCAAGAGGAGACAAACACGAUUUCAGAGAUCGUGGACGAUAUUCAAGGAGAGCUCUCGUGUAACGCGGCGCGAAUGAGUUUAGCAGAGCGAUGGGAAGAUGCCCGAGAGCAGCAGAAUAUGUUCAAGUGUCAAAUGGAAGAGGCGAAAAUCGAAACGAAAGUCCAGGAAGCGGUCGCUGCCAUCGAUUCUGAACAUCGAGUUGACGCUGAGAUAGAAAACUACCUCCAUCUUGCUAUUGCGAAACUGAAAGAUGAGAUUGAAAAUUGGACGAAGCGGUAUGAUGAGGAAAUCGCCGAGCGUGAAGCUGAAUUAGCAUCCUUGAUGGAAACAAGGAACGCAGCAUUGGAGAAACUAGAGCGGUUAAAUUCAGAGUUUACGGGGCGGCAAAAGGAAAUAGAAGACUACUUGGCAACGAAAGAGGAUCUCAGGCGGUCGAAGGAGAGAGAAGAAUAUUUGAACAAGAUGGCGACGAAAAUUCAAGCUUGGUGGCGGGGCACAAUGGUACGAAGACAUUUAGGGCCUUACAAGUAUUUCAGUAAAAUAGCACGUCCUCAAAAAAAAGGGAAGGGGAAGAAAAGUAAAUUCAACAGGACCUUUCAGAUUUAUACUAUACCUACUGGCAUUCAAAUUGUACUAUGGCCUGCAGCUCUUCUCGCAGAUCGCAAUUCAUAUCGUGAAUUUUGCCACGAAUUUUUCUUGCAUGAUUAA
This 1143-nucleotide long non-coding RNA is filed under the name Bemisia tabaci. RNAcentral's name for it is "lncRNA ENSSSA3NGG001751". Lineage: Eukaryota; Metazoa; Arthropoda; Insecta; Hemiptera; Aleyrodidae. The record is from RNAcentral.